This 575-nucleotide long non-coding RNA is filed under the name Dromaius novaehollandiae (emu). RNAcentral's name for it is "lncRNA (ENSDNVG00000008339.1)". The record is from RNAcentral. Lineage: Eukaryota; Metazoa; Chordata; Aves; Casuariiformes; Dromaiidae.
AUGGCAAACUGGCUAGAAGCAGUCUUCAUGAAGGACAGCGAUGAGCAGAGCUGCCCCCUCGAUCUUGGAAAAGCUGUGGUGGUAGCGAGUGGGAAGGCAUGCCCUCAAAGUGACAGUUUUGCUAUUGGGCCAAGUUUUCCUCUGGAAAAGGCAAAAUCAGUGACCUAUCUCCGGAGUCACAGGGAAAUCGGUGGUUUGUCCUCUGUGGGUUCCCGCUCUCCACGCGCGGCAGAGGGACCAGCUCAGCAGCACGGGCCGCAGGUGGUGAGCAAUCGUGGUUCUGCUCCCCAGCCCAGCAGUAUCUGCAUAUGAAGGAACUCUCGCUUUACAUGGACUUUACUUCAUACGUCAGUGUGUUUAUGCUUCAUAUCUAGCAGACGGGAGAUAUGUAUGCAAUAUAAAACAGAGUGAGUCGCAGAGAAGCUGAAGAGAGAUUUUGCAUUUAAUGUGAUAGUCUCACUACGAAAUAUUAAUUUAAAGCUAGUGGUGGAAAGGUUGAUCUUUGUCUCGUGGCCUUUAAUUCAUACAUGCAUGAAGCUGGUAAUAAAAGUUUUGCAAUGUGAAGGGAUAUUGCA